This 626-nucleotide ribosomal RNA is filed under the name Enterobacter hormaechei. Its description in RNAcentral is "bacterial SSU rRNA". It matches the Rfam family "Bacterial small subunit ribosomal RNA", at positions 558 to 1184 of the family's 1533-position model. Lineage: Bacteria; Pseudomonadati; Pseudomonadota; Gammaproteobacteria; Enterobacterales; Enterobacteriaceae. The record is from RNAcentral.
GCGUAAAGCGCACGCAGGCGGUCUGUCAAGUCGGAUGUGAAAUCCCCGGCCUCAACCUGGGAACUGCAUUCGAAACUGGCAGGCUAGAGUCUCGUAGAGGGGGGUAGAAUUCCAGGUGUAGCGGUGAAAUGCGUAGAGAUCUGGAGGAAUACCGGUGGCGAAGGCGGCCCCCUGGACAAAGACUGACGCUCAGGUGCGAAAGCGUGGGGAGCAAACAGGAUUAGAUACCCUGGUAGUCCACGCCGUAAACGAUGUCGACUUGGAGGUUGUGCCCUUGAGGCGUGGCUUCCGGAGCUAACGCGUUAAGUCGACCGCCUGGGGAGUACGGCCGCAAGGUUAAAACUCAAAUGAAUUGACGGGGGCCCGCACAAGCGGUGGAGCAUGUGGUUUAAUUCGAUGCAACGCGAAGAACCUUACCUACUCUUGACAUCCAGAGAACUUAGCAGAGAUGCUUUGGUGCCUUCGGGAACUCUGAGACAGGUGCUGCAUGGCUGUCGUCAGCUCGUGUUGUGAAAUGUUGGGUUAAGUCCCGCAACGAGCGCAACCCUUAUCCUUUGUUGCCAGCGGUUCGGCCGGGAACUCAAAGGAGACUGCCAGUGAUAAACUGGAGGAAGGUGGGGAUGACG